This 253-nucleotide ribosomal RNA is filed under the name uncultured bacterium. RNAcentral's name for it is "partial 16S ribosomal RNA". It matches the Rfam family "Bacterial small subunit ribosomal RNA", at positions 524 to 776 of the family's 1533-position model. The record is from RNAcentral.
UACGUAGGGGGCAAGCGUUGUCCGGAUUUAUUGGGCGUAAAGAGCGUGUAGGCGGCUUCACAGGUCCGCUGUGAAAACUCGAGGCUCAACCUCGAGAUGUCGGUGGAAACCGUGUGGCUAGAGUCCGGAAGAGGAGAGUGGAAUUCCCGGUGUAGCGGUGAAAUACGUAGAGAUUGGGAAGAACACCAGUGGCGAAGGCGGCUAUCUGGACGGUUUCUGACACUAAGACACGAAAGCGUGGGUAGCAAACAGG